ACGCUGGCGGCAUGCCUUACACAUGCAAGUCGAACGGCAGCACGGGAGCAAUCCUGGUGGCGAGUGGCGAACGGGUGAGUAAUACAUCGGAACGUGCCCAAUCGUGGGGGAUAACGCAGCGAAAGCUGUGCUAAUACCGCAUACGAUCUACGGAUGAAAGCAGGGGACCGCAAGGCCUUGCGCGAAUGGAGCGGCCGAUGGCAGAUUAGGUAGUUGGUGGGGUAAAGGCUCACCAAGCCAACGAUCUGUAGCUGGUCUGAGAGGACGACCAGCCACACUGGGACUGAGACACGGCCCAGACUCCUACGGGAGGCAGCAGUGGGGAAUUUUGGACAAUGGGCGAAAGCCUGAUCCAGCAAUGCCGCGUGCAGGAUGAAGGCCUUCGGGUUGUAAACUGCUUUUGUACGGAACGAAAUGGUCUUUUCUAAUACAGAAGGCUAAUGACGGUACCGUAAGAAUAAGCACCGGCUAACUACGUGCCAGCAGCCGCGGUAAUACGUAGGGUGCAAGCGUUAAUCGGAAUUACUGGGCGUAAAGCGUGCGCAGGCGGUUAUGUAAGUCUGAUGUGAAAUCCCCGGGCUCAACCUGGGAAUUGCAUUGGAGACUGCAAGGCUAGAAUCUGGCAGAGGGGGGUAAAAUUCCACGUGUAGCAGUGAAAUGCGUAGAUAUGUGGAGGAACACCGAUGGCGAAGGCAGCCCCCUGGGUCAAGAUUGACGCUCAUGCACGAAAGCGUGGGGAGCAAAC
Molecule: ribosomal RNA, 745 nt
Filed under: uncultured bacterium
Lineage: Bacteria
Description: bacterial SSU rRNA
Rfam family: Bacterial small subunit ribosomal RNA
Source: RNAcentral